Molecule: ribosomal RNA, 263 nt
Filed under: uncultured bacterium
Lineage: Bacteria
Description: partial 16S ribosomal RNA
Rfam family: Bacterial small subunit ribosomal RNA
Source: RNAcentral
GUCCACGCCCUAAACGAUGUCAACUGGUUGUUGGGAAUUCACUUUCUCAGUAACGAAGCUAACGCGUGAAGUUGACCGCCUGGGGAGUACGGCCGCAAGGUUGAAACUCAAAGGAAUUGACGGGACCCGCACAAGCGGUGGAUGAUGUGGUUUAAUUCGAUGCAACGCGAAAAACCUUACCCACCUUUGACAUGUACGGAAGUUGCCAGAGAUGGCUUCGUGCUCGAAAGAGAGCCGUAACACAGGUGCUGCAUGGCUGUCGU